This 353-nucleotide ribosomal RNA is filed under the name uncultured bacterium. RNAcentral describes it as "partial 16S ribosomal RNA". It matches the Rfam family "Bacterial small subunit ribosomal RNA", at positions 338 to 708 of the family's 1533-position model. The record is from RNAcentral.
CCUACGGGGGGCAGCAGUAGGGAAUAUUGCUCAAUGGGGGAAACCCUGAAGCAGCAACGCCGCGUGGAUGAUGAAGGACUUAGGUUUGUAAAGCCCUUUCGUCAGAGAAGAUAAUGACGGUACCUCACGAAUAAGCACCGGCUAACUCCGUGCCAGCAGCCGCGGUAAUACGGAGGGGGCAAGCGUUAUCCGGAAUCACUGGGUGUAAAGGGGGCGUAGGCGGGCUUGUAAGUCAGAUGUGAAAGCCUGUGGCUUAACUACGGGACUGCAUUGGAAACUGUGAGUCUCGAGUGUGGGAGGGGUAGGAGGAAUUCUUGGUGUAGCGGUGAAAUGCGUAGAUAUCAGGAGGAAUA